GACAGUGUGGCAUAGUAGUUUGAGUGCUGAACUGCAUGCAACUUUGGAGACCUGGGUUCGAUUCCCAGCUUGGCCA
This is a non-coding RNA of Phrynosoma platyrhinos (Desert horned lizard), 76 nucleotides long. The record is from the annotation of a GenBank genome assembly. NCBI's taxonomy places the organism in Eukaryota, Metazoa, Chordata, Lepidosauria, Squamata, Phrynosomatidae.